This 203-nucleotide long non-coding RNA is filed under the name Elaeis guineensis (African oil palm). RNAcentral describes it as "long non-coding RNA (EGUI_LNC027433)". The record is from RNAcentral. Lineage: Eukaryota; Viridiplantae; Streptophyta; Magnoliopsida; Arecales; Arecaceae.
GCUGGGUCGAGUGUCAUAGAUCGAAAAACUGGAUUGAAGGACAGCUCGAACAGGGUUUAUAUUCAAAAACCAAAGAAGAAGGCAGGAAUUAAAAUUCCAAAUCGGAUUUUGUGGGGCUCGAAAAAGAUAAGGGCACUGUUGAUCUAAUUUUUUUGGACAGCCCCUUUGUACCUGCUUCACAAAAAAAAGAUAGUUGAGCCAGC